CGCAAUGGACGAAAGUCUGACGGAGCAACGCCGCGUGAACGAAGAAGGCCUUCGGGUCGUAAAGUUCUGUUGUUAGGGAAGAACAAGUACGAGAGUAACUGCUCGUACCUUGACGGUACCUAACCAGAAAGCCACGGCUAACUACGUGCCAGCAG
RNAcentral lists this ribosomal RNA (155 nucleotides) under uncultured Bacillota bacterium. Its description in RNAcentral is "uncultured Firmicutes bacterium partial 16S ribosomal RNA". It matches the Rfam family "Bacterial small subunit ribosomal RNA", at positions 367 to 514 of the family's 1533-position model. The record is from RNAcentral. Lineage: Bacteria; Bacillati; Bacillota.